GAUGAACGCUGGCGGCGUGCCUAAUACAUGCAAGUCGAGCGAACAGACGAUGAGCUUGCUCCUUUGACGUUAGCGGCGGACGGGAGAGAAACACGUGGAUACCCUACUUAUCAGACUGGGAUCAUCUCGGGACACCGGAGCUAAUACCGGAUAAUCUAUUGCACCGCAUGGGUCAAUAGUGAAAGACGGCUUUGCUGUCACUAAUAGCUGGUUCCGGGCGGCAUUAGCUAGUUGGUACGGUAACGGCUUACCAAGGCAACUAGGCGUAGCCGACGUGAGAGGGGGAUCGGCCACACUGGAGCUGAGACACGGUCCAGGCGCCUGCGGGAGGCAGCAGUAGGGAAUCGGCGGCAAUGGGCGGAAACCUGACGGAGCGAGGCGGCGUGAGUGAUGGAGAUGUUCGGAUCGUAAUGCUGUGUUAUGGGGUGAAAACAGAUGUGGAAGUAGCUGUACACGUCUUGACGGUACCUAGUCAGGAAGCCACGGCUAACUACGUG
This 497-nucleotide ribosomal RNA is filed under the name uncultured bacterium. RNAcentral's name for it is "partial 16S ribosomal RNA". It matches the Rfam family "Bacterial small subunit ribosomal RNA", at positions 28 to 507 of the family's 1533-position model. The record is from RNAcentral.